UUUAAGUGACUUCCUUGUCACACCCUUCCCGCACAGCAGGACCAAGACAGUCGUCACGAUUCCUGGUGUGGAGCCCCUGUGGCGCGAGCUGUCUUCCCCGGGGGAGGCUGGAAAGUACACCUGCCUCGAGUUGUGAGCGAGCCCUCAGCCGGGGUCAAAGGCAAGUUCCCGCAGGACGGAAUGUUCUGUGUGGGUGCAAGUUGAAACUUCGGGGCCACGGCCUACCGGGUGUGUGCGCAGAGAUUCACAGCCGUGCGUGACCUGCCCCGUCCCGGGCCACCAGACCAGCCGUGGAGCCCCUGGAGCCUGGGUGCCUGUUCGGGAGGGACGUGAACCCCCGCCCAGCCUCUGCCCAGCCUCUGCAGAGCUCGUCUCCCAUGGAAUCGCCAGCUGAAUUCGGUGACCGCAGGGGGCAAAACCGAGCCUUUACUUUACCUCUUGUGCCACCAACAAGCUGAAACUUUUUAAUAAAACCAUCUGUUCUUCUUAAAUACUAAAUAAGAAAAUGUCAACAAAAA
Prionailurus viverrinus (fishing cat) is the source of this 518-nucleotide long non-coding RNA. RefSeq lists it as uncharacterized. The transcript is spliced from 2 exons. NCBI's taxonomy places the organism in Eukaryota, Metazoa, Chordata, Mammalia, Carnivora, Felidae. The record is from RefSeq and is a predicted model, not a curated record.